GCCAAGUGUGCGCCCAGCGCCACGCUUUCUGCAGUUUAAGAGAGGUUUUGUUUGGAGAGCUGAGUGAGUGGGUUGCGGUUUGGAUCUUGGAGCUUGGCUGGCCUCUCCUCGGUGGCCGUGUCUCCACCCUGUUCCCGCCCCAGGUCGGCUUGGUUCCCAGCCGGGCUCCAGGCGCCAUGGCUUCCCGCGGGAGGAAGCGGAAGGCCGAGGCGGCGCUGGCCGCAGCGGCCGAGAAGCGGGAGAAACCGGCUAGCAGCCAGAAGGGAGUGGAGGAGGCGAGCGUCGUUAUCGAGCAUUGCAUGAGCUGACGCGUCUACGGGCGCAACGCCGCGGCCCUGAGCCAGGCGCUGCGCCUGGAGGCCCCGGAUCUUCCAGUGAAGGUGAACCCUGCCAAGCCCCGGAGGGGCAGCUUCGAGGUGACACUGCUGCGACCCGACGGCAGCAGUGCGGAGCUCUGGACUGGGAUUAAGAAGGGGCCCCCACGCAAACUCAAGUUCCCUGAGCCUCAAGAGGUGGUGAAGGAGCUGAAGAAGUACCUUUCGUAGGGAGGUUUGGGCAGAAGUCUUCACGCUGAGGUAUGCCUACUCCUGCCCUCUUGUGUUCUCUGUUACCGCCUCUGUCCCUGGUGAUGUUGGAGCAUUUAUGACGGGACAUGGCCAAACUUCAGUCAUGUGCCUGAAGCUGUGGUUUCUUCUCCAGAAACGGUGGCUCAGUUGUGAGGCAAUCCUCUAGUAAGGCACUGAAAAGUUCUUGGAUUGGUUUAAUAAAAAUUAAAGUAUUUGAGUU
Non-coding RNA from Kogia breviceps (pygmy sperm whale), 786 nucleotides. The record is from RefSeq and is a predicted model, not a curated record. NCBI's taxonomy places the organism in Eukaryota, Metazoa, Chordata, Mammalia, Artiodactyla, Physeteridae.